This 3139-nucleotide long non-coding RNA is filed under the name Panax ginseng (ginseng). RNAcentral's name for it is "long non-coding RNA (PGIN_LNC002847)". The record is from RNAcentral. Lineage: Eukaryota; Viridiplantae; Streptophyta; Magnoliopsida; Apiales; Araliaceae.
GCCGCUCCAAAAGUUCCUAUAUGUUGCUCCUUCACCGCUGAUUUGCUUUCCUUCACUGCUCUUUGCUGGUAUUUCUUUUUCAAACCUUUUUUUGUUUGAUUACUCUGAAUUUCUGGUGAUUUCGAAAUAUUAAAUAGAUCAAUUUAAAUGAGAAUGAUAUACUACUCUGUGUGUUUGGUCUCAUGAAAUUGCUUCAUAGAAUUUUUUUACCUGGUUAAGAGCCACAACAGGCAUGAGGGAGAAAUUGGCACGCUUGACCUUUAAACAAUUUAAGAAAAAAGGUUUAAAAUUAUUCCUUUUUCUUUCUUUUUUCAAAAAUUAAAAAAAUGACGAAAUAACAUAUGAAGAUAUUUUCUCCCCUUAGUUUUGGAAGCAUAAAUGGUAUUGGUUCCUCAACCUUAUACUUUAAGGUUCCAGUUGUUGAGAAGAAAAAUCAGUAUUGUUAUCGAAGAACUAGAGCAAACAAAUAUUUACCCCUAAUUAAUAAGGAAAAUGAUUGCAACAGUUGACAUGGCAGCAUGCCCACUGGGGCUGGCAUAUAGGAAUUAUUUGAAGUUGAUGAUUUUUUCGUAUAUAUUGUACCAUAUUGAACAAUCGGUUUAUGUGAUUGGAAGCUAGUAGUCAAUAGUAUUUUUUAAUGUUUGUAAUUAGAUAUUAUUACCACUAGUUUAUUUAUUGAUUGUAUUUUUUUUAAAUACUUGUUGUGGUUCAUAAAAUUUAAUUUGUUCUUUUUGUUCAAAUUAUUUAAAUGUUUGUUCUUUAUUGAUUACACCUUUUAUAAUCUAUGUACUUUAGGUAUGGAACAAGACGGUGAAACUCAAAAAAAAAAAGAGACUACUUAGUUGAAAGAAUGAAACAUUAAUCAAAUUUUUUUAAAAGCAUGUAUUCGUGAGGUUGAGUAAAAUGGUAAGGAAGGUGCAAGCCUCAAGUCACAAUCAUAGAGAAAGGUUGGAAAAAUACAAAAAGACAAUUUGAUUGUGGAUCAAAAACAAAUGAAGAAUCAUUAUGACUACUUGAGAGAAAAAUAUAGUGCAUUGUGCAAAUUUAAAAGUAAAGCAUGAAAUGUGUAUGACCUGUUAACUAAUAGGUUCAACCUUUCGGAUGAGGAAUGGAAACAAGAGAAAAAUAUGCUCUCUUUAACUUUUUUUACAUUUUAAGCUAAUUAGUAAUAGUCCUUAAAAAUAUUUUAUAACAUGUUAUUUACUGUUUGAAUACAGACAAAUAAAAUGGUAGAAACUUUGAAGAUCUCACCUCUAAUCUUCCCCGAUCUUUAUAUUGCAUUAUUUGAUGAAACCGCGGCAACGGGACAUGAUAGUUGGGGUCCUAGUUGUGAAAGAGCUAGGAAUAAAGAUACGUCCAUUUGAACUUGAAGGUUGUUAGUCUUUGAGGACAUUCCUUUUAGCACCCAAAGUCGAGGGUCUUCUAUUUCAUCUCCUAAUUCAUCAACUCCCGAUACGCAAUCUCAUGCUUCCACUCCUAGCUUUGAAGAAGAAAGACCAAAGAAAAAAGUUAGACAUUCAUAAAAACAAACCUACAACACUAACCUAGAUGAAGAGAUGUCCAAGGCCUUGAAACUCAUUAUUGAAAAGAAUAGUGGACCAUUGGUGAAAGAAUGCAAAGAUAAGUUCGAAGAACUUGGAUGGGGAGCAGAAAAUCCACUACACAAGAUGGCUCUUGGAAUAUUUUGUGAAAAAUCAAGCUAAAGAGAAGCAUGGAUGAUUCUCGAAGAGAAUGAGGUUGAAAAUUGGGUUAUGAUGGUUUCACGCAAGUUAGGAUAUAUUGCUUAGUUUGUUCGAUAUUAUUUAAUUACAAACUUGAUAUUAUGUUAGUGGAUAUAUUUGAGGCUAUGUAAUUAGAUAAGUCUGGUUCAAAAUUUCUUAUCUUUGGGGCUAGCUAAUUUGAUAUUUUUAGAAUACAAACUUGUAUAUGUUGGAGCUUAUUUGCUAAUUAUGGAUAUGAUAUUUGUUUUUGCUAAUUAUGAAUGUGAUAUUUGUUAUAGAUGCUUUUGAAUGAACUUAUUAUGCUAAAUUUAUAAGGGAUGUUAUGAUGAUUAUUUAAAGUGGUGAUUAUUUUUAUAUCAUGUUAUGAUGACCAUGUAAUAUUUAAAUUACUCUAGUUAAUCUUUUUCUUUUAUUAAUUGUUAUAGUAUUUUAAAAUUGUUAUGUCUUAAAAUAAUCAUCAUAACAUUCAUUAUAAAUUUAACAUAAGAAGUUCAAAAUCAUCUGUAACAAAUAUUACAUCCAUAAUUAGCAAUAAUUAAUAAAUAAGCCCCCACAUAUACAAGUUUGUAUCCCAAAAAUAUUAAAUUAGUUAACCCCCCACAUAUACAAGUUUGUAUCCCAAAAAUAGUUAACCCCAAAGAUAAGAGAAAUUUGUACCCAAAAAUAUGAAAUUACUUAGCCCCAAAUAUAUCCACCAACAUAAUAUCAAGUGUGUAAUUAAAUAAUAUCUAACAAACUAAGCAAUAUAUCCUAACUUGCGUGAAACCAUCAUAACCCAAUUUUUAACCUCAUCCUCUUUUAGGAUGAUCCAUGCUUCUCUGUAGCUUGAUUUCUCACAAAAUAUUCUAAAAACCACCUUGUGUAGUGAAUUUUCUGCUCCCCAUCCGAGUUCUUUUAACUUAUCUUUGCAUUCUUUCACGAAUGGUCCACUAUUCUUUUCAAUAAUGAGUUUCAAGGCGUUGGACAUCUCUUCAUCUAGGUUAGUGUUGUAUGUUUAUUUUUAUGAGAGUCUCUAACUUUUUUCUUUGGUCUUUCUUCUUCAAAACUAGGAGCGAAAGCAUGAGAUUGCAUAUCGGGAGUUGAUGAAUUAGGAGAUGGAAUAGAAGACCCUUGACUUUGGGUGCUAAAAGGAAUGUCUAACGUGUGUAUCUUUAUUCCUAGCUCUUUCACAACUAGGACGCCAACUAUCAUGUCCCGUUGUCGCGAUUUCAUCAAAUAAUGCAAUAAAAAGAUCGGAGAAGAUUAGAGGUGAGGUCUUCAAAGUUUCUAUCAUUUUAUUUUUCUGUAUUCAAACAGUAAGUUCAACAUGUUAUAAAAUAUUGUUAAGGACUAUUACUAAUUAGCUUAAAAUGUAAAAAAGUUAAAACGAACAUAUUUUUCUCGUUUCCAUUCCUCAUCCGAAAGGUUGAACCUAUUAG